AAAGUACUUGUUUCAAAUAUUAAGCCAUGCAUGUCUAAUUAUAAAGGUUACAUACAAUGAAACUGCGAAUGGCUCAUUCAAACAGUUAUAGUUUAUUUGAUAUUCAAACUUAUAUUUUCUUAUUAGUUUAAAUGGAUAACCGUAGUAAUUCUAGAGCUAAUACAUGCGUUACGGGGGACUUUACGGAACCUCAGUAUUUAUUAAAUUAUUAAACCACCAUUCCGCAAGGUCUACUGAAAUGAUUCAUGAUAACUGAUCGAAUUGCUGGGUCUACCAGCAAUAAAUCAUUCAUGUUUCUGCUUCCCAUCACCUUGAUGGUAGUGUAUUGAACAACCAUGGCAUUCACGGGCUAUCGGGGGAUUAGGGUUCGAUUCCGGAAAGGGAGCCUGAAAAACGGCUACCACUUCUACGGAAGGCACCAGGCGCGAAAAUUAUCCAAUCCUGACUCAGGGAGGUAGUGAAAGAAAUAAUGAACUAGGAUUUAUCCUGGGAUCACAAUGGGCUUGAUUUGCAAACUCAAUUUUAGCGAGGAACAAUUGGAGGGCAAGUCUGGUGCCAGCAGCCGCGGUAAUUCCAGCUCCAAUAGUGAGUUAGGUUCUUGCAGUUAUUCGAUGCUCGUAGUUGGAUUUCUGGAGGUUGCGACGGGAGGGUGGCUAUGGCCGCCGCCGGUCGCCUCCUUCAUCCACCUGUUAACGUCGUCCGGGAUUCAUUUCUCGGCUUCGGGCUCAGGUACUUUACCCUUUCUAUAUAAUAUUCAUUUAUUCAUCUUCUUUUUGAGCAAAUUAUAGUGUUUCAGGCAGGCGUGCGCCGGAAUACCUUAGCAUGGAAUAAUCGAACUGGACCGUGUAUCCAUUUGUUGGUUUGAGAGACACGGAAAUGGUUAAUAGGGAUAGUAAUUUUCAGGGGAGGCAUUAGUAUUUAAUUUCCAGAGGUGAAAUUCUUUGAAAUAUUAAACACUAACUUAUGCGAAAGCAUUUAUUUUGCCAAUAAUGUUUUCAUUAAUCAUUGAACGAAAGUUAGGGGAUCAAAGACGAUCAGAUACCGUCCUAGUCUUAACCAUAAACGUUGCCGAAUAGGGAUCGGAGGGCGUGCACAUUCCGCCUUUAGCAUCGUUCGAGAAAUCAAUGUUUUUUGGUUAAGGGGAUAGUAUAGUCGCAAGGCUAACACUUGACGAAUUGAAGGAAGGGCACGACCAGGAGUGGAGGCUUGCGGCUCAAUUUGACUCAACACGGGAAAUCUUCCCAUGUCCAGACAUAGCGAGGAUUGACAGAUUGAUAGCUCUUUCUAGAUUCUAUGGGUAUUUUUGGUGGUGCAUGGCCGAUCUUAGUUGGUGGAGUGAUUUGUCUGGUUAAUUCCGUUAAACGAACGAGACCUCAGCCUGCUAAAUAGUUACCUGUCUUUCUUUUCGAGACUUGCUAACUUCUUAGAGGGACGUUGUGUGCAACCACAAGGAAGUUGAGGCAAUAACAGGUCUGUGAUGCCCUUAGAUGUCCUGGGCCGCACGCGUGCUACACUGAUACGUACAACGAGGUAUAUGCAUUUAUGCAUGGACGUUGCUCCGAAAUAGACAAAGCUAAAUCUUCUAAAAUACGUAUCGUGCUGCGGAUAGAUCGUUGCAAUUAUGAAUCUUGAAGGAGGAAUUCCUAGUAAGCGCGGGUCAUUAACCCGCGUCGAUUACGUCCCUGCCCUUUGCACACCCCCCCAGUCGCUCCUACCAAUUUCGAGUGCCUUGGUGAUCCUCUUUGGACCGUCGCGCAAUCGCGAAAUUAGAGUGAACCUGGUCACUUAGAGGAAGGAUAAGCGGGUUAAUAAUUCG
RNAcentral lists this ribosomal RNA (1816 nucleotides) under Euplotes sp. Its description in RNAcentral is "SSU rRNA". It matches the Rfam family "Eukaryotic small subunit ribosomal RNA". The record is from RNAcentral. Lineage: Eukaryota; Ciliophora; Spirotrichea; Euplotida; Euplotidae.